UUUAUGGAGAGUUUGAUCCUGGCUCAGGAUGAACGCUGGCGGCGUGCCUAAUACAUGCAAGUCGAGCGAACGGACGAGAAGCUUGCUUCUCUGAUGUUAGCGGCGGACGGGUGAGUAACACGUGGAUAACCUACCUAUAAGACUGGGAUAACUUCGGGAAACCGGAGCUAAUACCGGAUAAUAUUUUGAACCGCAUGGUUCAAAAGUGAAAGACGGUCUUGCUGUCACUUAUAGAUGGAUCCGCGCUGCAUUAGCUAGUUGGUAAGGUAACGGCUUACCAAGGCAACGAUGCAUAGCCGACCUGAGAGGGUGAUCGGCCACACUGGAACUGAGACACGGUCCAGACUCCUACGGGAGGCAGCAGUAGGGAAUCUUCCGCAAUGGGCGAAAGCCUGACGGAGCAACGCCGCGUGAGUGAUGAAGGUCUUCGGAUCGUAAAACUCUGUUAUUAGGGAAGAACAUAUGUGUAAGUAACUGUGCACAUCUUGACGGUACCUAAUCAGAAAGCCACGGCUAACUACGUGCCAGCAGCCGCGGUAAUACGUAGGUGGCAAGCGUUAUCCGGAAUUAUUGGGCGUAAAGCGCGCGUAGGCGGUUUUUUAAGUCUGAUGUGAAAGCCCACGGCUCAACCGUGGAGGGUCAUUGGAAACUGGAAAACUUGAGUGCAGAAGAGGAAAGUGGAAUUCCAUGUGUAGCGGUGAAAUGCGCAGAGAUAUGGAGGAACACCAGUGGCGAAGGCGACUUUCUGGUCUGUAACUGACGCUGAUGUGCGAAAGCGUGGGGAUCAAACAGGAUUAGAUACCCUGGUAGUCCACGCCGUAAACGAUGAGUGCUAAGUGUUAGGGGGUUUCCGCCCCUUAGUGCUGCAGCUAACGCAUUAAGCACUCCGCCUGGGGAGUACGACCGCAAGGUUGAAACUCAAAGGAAUUGACGGGGACCCGCACAAGCGGUGGAGCAUGUGGUUUAAUUCGAAGCAACGCGAAGAACCUUACCAAAUCUUGACAUCCUUUGACAACUCUAGAGAUAGAGCCUUCCCCUUCGGGGGACAAAGUGACAGGUGGUGCAUGGUUGUCGUCAGCUCGUGUCGUGAGAUGUUGGGUUAAGUCCCGCAACGAGCGCAACCCUUAAGCUUAGUUGCCAUCAUUAAGUUGGGCACUCUAAGUUGACUGCCGGUGACAAACCGGAGGAAGGUGGGGAUGACGUCAAAUCAUCAUGCCCCUUAUGAUUUGGGCUAC
Molecule: ribosomal RNA, 1235 nt
Filed under: Staphylococcus aureus
Lineage: Bacteria; Bacillati; Bacillota; Bacilli; Caryophanales; Staphylococcaceae
Description: bacterial SSU rRNA
Rfam family: Bacterial small subunit ribosomal RNA
Source: RNAcentral